This 200-nucleotide unclassified non-coding RNA is filed under the name soil metagenome. RNAcentral describes it as "partial contains 5.8S ribosomal RNA, internal transcribed spacer 2, and large subunit ribosomal RNA". The record is from RNAcentral.
UUGGUAUUCCGAAAGGCAUGCCUGUUUGAGUGUCUUAUAAACCUCUCUAUACUAUUUAUUUAGUAUAGAGCUUUGGGUGCUGCCAGCGAUGGCUCGCCUUAAAUGUCUAAGUGGAAUGCAUAAUAAGUUCUUGCAAUCCUCCACUCUAACACACUUUAUAUUCUGACCUCAAAUCAGGUAGGACUACCCGCUGAACUUAA